Long non-coding RNA from Varroa destructor (honeybee mite), 2327 nucleotides. NCBI's taxonomy places the organism in Eukaryota, Metazoa, Arthropoda, Arachnida, Mesostigmata, Varroidae. The record is from RefSeq and is a predicted model, not a curated record.
UCUGGUACUCGUGAGUGCCGUCAGUGGUUACAUCGGGAACCUUGUCAUGUCUGAAAAGAUGCUUAACUGAAUUAGAAAGGGUACACGGAAACAUACCAAACUCGUGGACAGAACAGAGCGUCUCUAUCAAACAGCAAUUUCUACCUAGUUUCGUGAGGUCACGAUUCGGUCCCGGCAACUGGACGGCAACAACGAAAAGCUUCGCCUGACCUUCAUCGAAGUCUCGUGUCUCGACCACCGAACAAAGAAACGGCGACUAGCGAGCUAAUGUGGGGUGAACUGAACCGAGAACUGAAAGCGUCAAACAGAGCCGUCGCGACUGUUGCCGGAACGCGCGCCGUCUCCAUCAGCGUCGCCAACGUCAAGUCAGUCUACUCACUUGCAGCAAACCAACAGCGAAAAUUGCGGCCGCUGCUGCAUCAGGAUCAGAAGCGGGACAUUAGCCAUGGCUUUAGAUACAGCAGCGACAGCAGCGAAAGUAAUAGACGCGAGGCCUAAUUGCCCCCCUGUGGCGGUAGUUCUGUACUUCACGUACCGUAGCAGUCAACAACAGAGAACGUGGAUGGAUUAACGUUCGAGCAACGGCAGUUCUUCGCUCAUCAGCUUGAUCGUGUUGGCUGCCUCAAAGCUGUAGUCGGGCUUGGUUGUAGCCUUCGGUCUACGACGGCCGGCACUUCUGACAGUUCGCGCCGGCUCUGUUGAUGCCGAGGUCGAUGCCAUCACUACGUCCGCACUACUGACAUAGAAGCCGUCGAUUGCUAAAGACCUGGAGAGAGACCUCGUGACCGACUUCAUCUCCAAGUGGAUCCAGUCCACUAGGCGCAUAGCGUAUUGUAACAUGGUCGUAGGAGCCGUAAAUCGACGGGUGGACGAGGAGAUUGACUGUGAAGUUACCGAUAAUGUCGUUGUUGUUGCGGCUGUUGCUGUUGAUGCGACGCUGCGGACAAACUACUAAGUAUACAGAAAUUGGUGCGUACAUACCGAACGUAUCUGUUACUGGACGAAUACUUAUGCCGACAGGAACUCUUCGAUGUAUUGGUUGCUUUAUUUUGCGUUAGGCGUAGAACAUGUUGUAUAUGACUCGAAAAUAUUGCUUGGUGUAUUAGUUUCGCCUAUCUGUAGGCCUGCAUGGUUGCCGCGAUAGGGCAAAGUGAAAGCGAUUUGGUCGUUUACCGUUAUUAUUAUAGAAAGUAACGUCGAUGAUACGCCCAUACGAUGCGAUCAGGUAUACCAUAAGAGAAUGUAUUGUCAGAAAGCGGGUACUUGAAGAUGGCCUAGAAUCAUACUUAUAGAACUAAAACAGCGCAUAAGGAUCCAAGAGUCAAAUCCGAAGGCCUGUGCUGUACCCCCCCCCCCCCUUAUGCAGACGAUUUUCGUGCGAGGAAAAAUUGACGUAGUGUUACUUAGUAGUAAUGAUUGUAUUACUUUGACUCGUUCUAAUCCGUUCGACCACCACUGUUCUCCAGCACCUUCCUGUUCGUGCUUUUACUCUUUGUCGAUUUAUUUAUAUCGUUUUCCGGUAAAAGCAUCGCAGCUCAAUAAUUCGAAUUACACAACAUUUUGUUCGGCCCCCCAUUAUUUUACUCAUAAACGAAGACCGUUUCCUUUUCUACUGCCAUACCAUUCCCGGCCUCGAUAAAGUCAUUUGGUCUGGUGAAUUCGGCCUACAUUUACAACGCCGCUUACCAGACCUUCGGCGAUGACUCGAUCCUUAAUUCCUUAGUAGUUUUCACCCCAUCUAUUACAGUUGCUAUGAAGGUAUUCCCUAAAGCGAAGCGAGCUUUGCGAAGCGGAAAAACAUUAUCGAGAGUGCAACGAAUGCGGAAGCGGGAACUGUAAAAUGUGCAAUAACGACUGGCUUAAUUGUAUCGUCAUCACCCAUCUUCCCUUAUCAAUCCCGCUUACUUCACUCAGUGAUUAUGCUAUGUGGAUUCCCAUGAAUUCGGCGCGUUCACGUUCAAUAUCUGCGACUUGUAUCACAUUCUGGACCUCUAACCAGUAGUAUGUAUUAUGGAAUCUAAUAAAAUGAAGGUUCCAAUCAGGACACCGCAAAAUUUUUCUUCAUGUUAUUCUAAUCUUUCUUUGGCCUGUGGCUGAGCGUCGAUGAAGUGCGAGGAACUCGGCCAAGGUUAUGCACCAAUUACUAAAUUGAAUGGAAGUCGCGGACCAACAGAGAAUUUUUUUCUAGUAGCUGUAGUCGAGUGGUUAUGCAGGGCUUUAAUGGUGCGAAAUAAACAGAGCAACCAACAGGAAGGAGGGCGGAUAGAAGAAAUAGUUUGAAUCCAGCUCGUCUUUCCUUAUGAAUUACGCAACCAGCGGGAAAAUUA